Molecule: unclassified non-coding RNA, 500 nt
Filed under: uncultured Glomeromycotina
Lineage: Eukaryota; Fungi; Glomeromycota
Description: SSU rRNA
Rfam family: Eukaryotic small subunit ribosomal RNA
Source: RNAcentral
CCAAUAGCGUAUAUUAAAGUUGUUGCAGUUAAAAAGCUCGUAGUUGAAUUUCGGGGUUAGUAGGUUGGUCAUGCCUCUGGUAUGUACUGGUCUCACUGAUUCCUCCUUCCUUAUGAACCGUAAUGCCAUUAAUUUGGUGUUGCGGGGAAUUUGGACUGUUACUUUGAAAAAAUUAGAGUGUUUAAAGCAAGCUAACGCUUGAAUACAUUAGCAUGGAAUAAUGAAAUAGGACGUUCGAUCUUAUUUUGUUGGUUUCUGGGAUUGACGUAAUGAUUAAUAGGGAUAGUUGGGGGCAUUAGGAUUCAAUUGUCAGAGGUGAAAUUCUUGGAUUUAUUGAAGACUAACUACUGCGAAAGCAUUUGCCAAGGAUGUUGUCAUUAAUCAAGAACGAAAGUUAGGGGAUCGAAGACGAUCAGAUACCGUCGUAGUCUUAACCAUAAACUAUGCCGACUAGGGAUCGGAUGAUGUUAAUUUUUUAAUGACUCAUUCGGCGCCUUACG